RNAcentral lists this ribosomal RNA (247 nucleotides) under uncultured bacterium. RNAcentral's name for it is "partial 16S ribosomal RNA". It matches the Rfam family "Bacterial small subunit ribosomal RNA", at positions 523 to 769 of the family's 1533-position model. The record is from RNAcentral.
AUACAGAGGGUGCAAACGUUGCUCGGAAUUACUGGGCGUAAAGCGCGUGUAGGCGGUUUUAUAAGUCCGACGUGAAAGCCCAGGGCUCAACCCUGGAAGUGCGUUGGAUACUGUGAAGCUGGAGUCCUGAAGAGGAGAGCGGAAUUCCCGGUGUAGAGGUGAAAUUCGUAGAUAUCGGGAGGAACACCUGUGGCGAAGGCGGCUCUCUGGGCAGGUACUGACGCUGAGACGCGAAAGCGUGGGGAGC